Angiostrongylus cantonensis (rat lungworm) is the source of this 73-nucleotide non-coding RNA. Lineage: Eukaryota; Metazoa; Nematoda; Chromadorea; Rhabditida; Metastrongylidae. The record is from Rfam.
GGCCUUGUGGCCUAUUGGAUAAGGCGUCGGUCUUCGGAUCCGAAGAUUGCAGGUUCGAGUCCUGCCAGGGUCG